Molecule: ribosomal RNA, 330 nt
Filed under: uncultured Pelotomaculum sp.
Lineage: Bacteria; Bacillati; Bacillota; Clostridia; Eubacteriales; Desulfotomaculaceae
Description: bacterial SSU rRNA
Rfam family: Bacterial small subunit ribosomal RNA
Source: RNAcentral
UCAGGCUCGUGUCGUGAGAUGUUGGGUUAAGUCCCGCAACGAGCGCAACCCCUACGUUUAGUUGCUAACAGGUGAAGCUGAGCACUCUAGACGAACUGCCGUUGACAAAACGGAGGAAGGUGGGGAUGACGUCAAAUCAUCAUGCCCCUUAUGUUCUGGGCUACACACGUGCUACAAUGGCCGGUACAGACGGAGGCGAAGCCGCGAGGCGGAGCAAAUCCGAAAAAGCCGGUCUCAGUUCGGAUUGCAGGCUGCAACUCGACUGCAUGAAGCCGGAGUUGCUAGUAACCGCAGGUCAGCAAUACUGCGGUGAAUACGUUCCCGGGUCUU